GUGCUCGCUUUGGCAGCACAUAUACAGAGAUUAGUAUGGCCCCUGUGCAAGGAUGACAUGCAAAUUUGUGAAGUGUUCCAUAUUUUU
RNAcentral lists this small nuclear RNA (87 nucleotides) under Aotus nancymaae (Ma's night monkey). Lineage: Eukaryota; Metazoa; Chordata; Mammalia; Primates; Aotidae. The record is from RNAcentral.